GCUCUAACGAGGGAACCCCAUUGUCCAGUAGGUGCUUGAUUUGUGUCUGUGUAAAGUGCAUGAGUGGUUGCAGUUAAAAAAAAACAAAAAAAAAAACGGAAGAAUGAUAAGAGGGAUAAGAGAAAGUAGGCAUUUUGGGUUAUCUAUACAUGUUUAAAUAGAAGGGUGGUAAAUAGGAAUGUAAUUGUUUUGGUUAAUGUUUAGAUUAAAUUGGUUAAAUACAG
This 224-nucleotide long non-coding RNA is filed under the name Pelobates cultripes (western spadefoot toad). Lineage: Eukaryota; Metazoa; Chordata; Amphibia; Anura; Pelobatidae. The record is from RNAcentral.